AUUGAACGCUGGCGGCAGGCCUAACACAUGCAAGUCGAGCGGAUGAAGGGUGCUUGCUCCUGGAUUCAGCGGCGGACGGGUGUGUAAUGCCUAGGAAUCUGCUUGGUAGUGGUGUAUAACGUCCUGAAACGGGCGCUAAUACCGCAUACGUCCUGCGGGUGCAAGUUGGGGAUCUUCGGACCUCACGCUAUCAGAUGAGCCUAGGUCGGAUUAGCUAGUUGGUGGGUUAAAGGCCUACCAAGGCGACGAUCGGUAACUGGACUGAGAGAAUGAUCAGUCACACUGGAACGGAGACACGGACAAGAGUACUAAGAGAGGCAGCAGAGGGGAAUAUUAGGCAAUAGGCGAAAGCAUGAUCCAGCCAUGCCGCGUGUGAGAAGAAGGUCUUCGGAUUGUAAAGCACGUUAAGUGGGGAGGAAGGGCAGUAAGUUAAUACCAUGCUGGAGUGACGUUACCAACAGAAGAAGCACCGGCUAACUUCGUG
RNAcentral lists this ribosomal RNA (484 nucleotides) under uncultured bacterium. RNAcentral's name for it is "partial 16S ribosomal RNA". It matches the Rfam family "Bacterial small subunit ribosomal RNA", at positions 30 to 507 of the family's 1533-position model. The record is from RNAcentral.